Molecule: long non-coding RNA, 425 nt
Organism: Oncorhynchus tshawytscha (Chinook salmon)
Lineage: Eukaryota; Metazoa; Chordata; Actinopteri; Salmoniformes; Salmonidae
Source: Ensembl
CCAUUCUCAGCUGAGGAGACUGUCUCCAAGUUAUAAACAGCAGGAGGAGGUCCAUAGCUUGGCCCAGUGAUUGGUGGGUGAGGCUCAGUGUUCCAUUGGGUCUCUCCUGUACCCAGGGCCCAGCAGCAGUGCGGAACCGGGCCCACUCCAGAGGUAGAACCUGUAAGUACCCAGGGUAACCAAGAACCUCCAGCAGGACCAAGACCUGCUCCUCAGUCAGCCCAGCAUGGGAGAGGUGAACGAGGCAGAGAGCGUCUCAUAUCCAGUCUCUGAGAUCUGGAGAGAAGGAGGCAGUAAAGGAUGCCGCACAUCUGCAGCUCGCUAGCCACCACCGCCAGGAACAGCGGCAGGCGGUCCAUCCCAGCCUGGUAGUGGUUCCCAAGAGGAAUUGCAGCAGGGUCCUGUGCGGCUCCUGGCAGGGCAGG